RNAcentral lists this transfer RNA (73 nucleotides) under Neotoma lepida (desert woodrat). It matches the Rfam family "tRNA". From Rfam's summary of the family: Transfer RNA (tRNA) molecules are approximately 80 nucleotides in length. Their secondary structure includes four short double-helical elements and three loops (D, anti-codon, and T loops). The record is from Rfam by way of RNAcentral. Lineage: Eukaryota; Metazoa; Chordata; Mammalia; Rodentia; Cricetidae.
GGGGGUGUAGCUUAGUUGUUAGAGUGCUUGCCUAGCAUGCAUGAGGCCCUGGGUUUGAUCCCUAGCACCUUAU